AGCGAACGCUGGCGCCAGGCCUAACACAUGCAAGUCGAACGCACCUUUCGGGGUUAGUGGCGGACGGGUGAGUAACACGUGGGAACGUGACUCUAGGUUCGGAAUAACUCAGGGAAACUUGUGAUAAUACCGAAUGUGCCCUUCGGGGGAACGAUUUAUCGCCUUUAGCUCGGACCGCGUCUGAUUAGCUAGUUGGUUGAGGUAAUGGCUCACCAAGGCGACGAUCAGUAGCGGGUCUGAGAGGAUGAUCAGCCACAUUGGGACUGAGACACGGCCCAAACUCCUACGGGAAGCAGCAGUGGGGAAUCUUGCGCAAUGGGCGAAAGCCUGACGCAGCCAUGCCGCGUGAAUGAUGAAGGUCUUAGGAUUGUAAAAUUCUUUCACCGGGGACGAUAAUGACGGUACCCGGAGAAGAAGCCCCGGCUAACUUCGUG
Molecule: ribosomal RNA, 434 nt
Filed under: uncultured bacterium
Lineage: Bacteria
Description: partial 16S ribosomal RNA
Rfam family: Bacterial small subunit ribosomal RNA
Source: RNAcentral